Molecule: ribosomal RNA, 316 nt
Filed under: uncultured bacterium
Lineage: Bacteria
Description: bacterial SSU rRNA
Rfam family: Bacterial small subunit ribosomal RNA
Source: RNAcentral
GAUGAACGCUGGCGGCGUGCUUAACACAUGCAAGUCGAACGAAGCACUUUGAGAAGUUUACUUUUUAGAGUGACUGAGUGGCGGACGGGUGAGUAACGCGUGGGUAACCUGCCUUACACAGGGGGAUAACAGUUAGAAAUGACUGCUAAUACCGCAUAAAACAGCAGUACCGCAUGGUACAACUGUCAAAGAUUUAUCGGUGUAAGAUGGACCCGCGUCUGAUUAGCUAGUUGGUGGGGUAACGGCCUACCAAGGCGACGAUCAGUAGCCGACCUGAGAGGGUGACCGGCCACAUUGGGACUGAGACACGGCCCAA